Long non-coding RNA from Poecilia latipinna (sailfin molly), 100 nucleotides. RefSeq lists it as uncharacterized. The transcript is spliced from 3 exons. Lineage: Eukaryota; Metazoa; Chordata; Actinopteri; Cyprinodontiformes; Poeciliidae. The record is from RefSeq and is a predicted model, not a curated record.
AGAUGGCUCGUAUCAUAAAUAGACAAGAAUGAGCGUACGCCGCAUGAGCGUCAGCGACGUACGUGAAGUUUGCAACCACCUUGUGUAUUUAUGAUACAAG